RNAcentral lists this ribosomal RNA (439 nucleotides) under uncultured bacterium. RNAcentral's name for it is "partial 16S ribosomal RNA". It matches the Rfam family "Bacterial small subunit ribosomal RNA", at positions 338 to 795 of the family's 1533-position model. The record is from RNAcentral.
CCUACGUGGAGCAGCAGUGGGGAAUAUUGCACAAUGGGCGAAAGCCUGAUGCAGCAACGCCGCGUGAGCGAUGAAGGCCUUCGGGUCGUAAAGCUCUGUCCUCAAGGAAGAUAAUGACGGUACUUGAGGAGGAAGCCCCGGCUAACUACGUGCCAGCAGCCGCGGUAAUACGUAGGGGGCUAGCGUUAUCCGGAGUUACUGGGCGUAAAGGGUGCGUAGGUGGUUUCUUAAGUCAGAGGUGAAAGGCUACGGCUCAACCGUAGUAAGCCAUUGAAACUGGGGAAGUUGAGUGCAGGAGAGGAGGGUGGAAUUCCCGGUGUAGGAGUGAAAUGCGUAGAUAUCUGGAGGAACAUCAGUGGCGAAGGCGACUAUCUGGCACAUAACUGACGCUGAGGAGCGAAAGCGUGGGUAGCAAACAGGAUUAGAUACCCCAGUAGUC